UGGAAUGGAUAAAGGGCUGCUGGGGAUGUGUGUGGGUGAGAAGCGCAUCAUCACCAUUCCUCCUUUUCUGGCCUAUGGAGAGGAUGGAGAUGGGAAAGACAUUCCCGGUCAGGCAUCUCUGGUGUUUGAUGUUGCAUUAUUGGACCUCCAUAACCCCAAAGACAGCAUUUCCAUUGAGAACAAGGUAGUACCUGAAAACUGUGAGCGGAUAAGUCAAAGCGGGGACUUUCUCAGGUAUCAUUACAAUGGCACGCUUCUGGAUGGCACCCUCUUUGAUUCUAGCUACUCUCGGAACCGCACGUUUGACACGUACAUUGGGCAGGGCUACGUGAUUCCUGGGAUGGAUGAAGGUCUACUUGGUGUUUGCAUUGGAGAAAAGCGAAGGAUUGUGGUCCCCCCUCACCUGGGGUAUGGAGAGGAAGGAAGAGGCCGAGAAACUCCAUCUAUCCAUUCAUCAAAGAUUUAUUGAGUUUCUUCAUGACCAGGCCCUGCGCACAGUGUUAGGGAUUCAGCAGAAAGAAACACAAACAAAACUUCCUACGCACACAGAGAGUGUUUCCUUGUUGAUGCUCUCAAUAAUGUGUGUGCCUCAGAGGUUAUCAGGCACCUGGGAGACUGACUCAUGUUGACUUCCUAGAAGCUGACAUACUCACCUGAUGCUACAUGGUUCCUUGACUGGGUGUGAAUCGACCUGUACACUGGUUGGAAUUCUUGUUCCUGGAAUCCUUGGGGCCUGAGAGGCUGAGUUCAUUUGACUGCUGACAUCAGAUUCCAGGGGUGU
This 781-nucleotide small RNA is filed under the name Pongo abelii (Sumatran orangutan). RNAcentral's name for it is "processed transcript". The record is from RNAcentral. Lineage: Eukaryota; Metazoa; Chordata; Mammalia; Primates; Hominidae.